UCGUGUUAAGGCCCCAUUGGACCAUCGCAUCAGAACAACACACCGCCGAUGAAGAGAAAUAUAGAUCGGAAGGAUCGAACAUGUAGACACAUGAACACAGUCAUACGAAGAUAGGAUCCACGUGGAUCCACUGAAGACAAAAAACCACCGAAUCCCGCGAGAUCCGGGGAAGACAAACCUUCACAUGCCCUCCGACAAUACUAGAAACACCACCUGAACAGGAACUAGACAGGGAGACACAUGCAUAUCCGCUGGCUAAUUUUUUCACUUAUGGCAAAUUAAUGCAGAGUGAAAGGAUACUUGUUGUGUUGUUGUGGGUUGGGCGCUUGUCUCACUACAAACACACAAAUAGCACGAAAUCGAGAAAAAACAAACAAAUAACGGACAAUGGGUGAGCUUAUUUCUUUGCUGAUGUGGGAUAAUGUCUCCAAAAUAAAAUAAAAUUGGUGCGUACGUCACAACUAAAUGAGCCCCAGAUCUCAAAAUAAAAUAUGUGUUUGUUAAAAGGGGACUGAUAGGUGCCGGUGCACCGGCCCAAUAGUUCGGCCGGUCAAGCGCGAGCCGUCGAAUUAAUCUUCCCUCAACCGUCAGAUCUGGUCAACGCUCGUUCUAUCCCCGGCACAGGUCGCGUCCCCGCUGGUGUCGCGUCCUCCCGGUAAAAAACGAUGGCCAUCGUUGUCCGCCAAGCCGUGCGAGAUCGCCGCCCAUCACGUCACCACCCUCUGGCUUGUCACGGCCGCCGACCUGCACUGCUAUAUUCCAGCGGAGAACACAUCUCAGCACCAAAAAAACCUUCGGUGGUCACUUGAAGCAAAAUAGAAAACUGGUUCCAGGAAAAAAAAAAGGUUCAGUUCCAGCAAAACAAUCUGAGCACCUAGGAACUCUAGUAAAAUGUUUGAAGCAAAAGUUUAUUUGGAUCCAGCAAAAAAUAACUCUGGUUCCAGCAAAACGAUUUGAGCAACUAGGAAAUCUAGUAAAAUGUUUGAAGCAAAAGUUUACCCUGGAUCCAGCGAAAAAUCACGCAGAUUCCAACAAAAAUCGUGUCAGCAACAACUCAACCUUGAAGCUCAAUCAAAACGCUGGUGGUCAGAUGAAGCAAAACCAAACACUAGUUCCAGCAAAAGAAAACUGCGGUUCCAGCAAAAACGACACGAGCAACCAGGAACUCCCGUGAACGUUUGAAGCAAAAAUUUACUCGGGUUCCAGCAAAAAAGGCUAGGCUUCCAGCAAUAAUCGCAUCGCAGGAAAAGAACCGACCUUGCAGCUCCCAAAAACGCCGUUUCCAGCUUCGACGCGCACGGAUGCAACUCCGCCGUCGAAGGGCGCAACUGAUUGCAGCACCCAAAAGCUUGUCCGCCUCGUCGCCGGCGGUGGCAGCACAACACUAACUCCAGCGCGAGGAAGCAGAGUUGUGCGGCCGCGCUGGCCGCUCGGAGUAGUCAACGCCGGGCGCCGCCGUGGCUGGCACACCACAAAUCCGGGGUGACUCACAUCGGUAAGAAACAAAAUGGUUUGAAGUGGGGGAUGGGAGUUGUGUGCCGCGCCGGCGAGGAUGCAGAUAGAGAUGAACUAGCACAGAUGUGUUCUGGGGACAGAAGAAAAAGGAGUGGAGGAGAGCGCAUCGCACGCUGACUGAAUAGGUAAGGUAGCCAAGCGGUGUGUGGGUCCAAUAAAAUGUGUU
RNAcentral lists this long non-coding RNA (1681 nucleotides) under Triticum aestivum (bread wheat). Its description in RNAcentral is "long non-coding RNA (TAES_LNC011508)". Lineage: Eukaryota; Viridiplantae; Streptophyta; Magnoliopsida; Poales; Poaceae. The record is from RNAcentral.